Molecule: long non-coding RNA, 1611 nt
Filed under: Triticum aestivum (bread wheat)
Lineage: Eukaryota; Viridiplantae; Streptophyta; Magnoliopsida; Poales; Poaceae
Description: long non-coding RNA (TAES_LNC018220)
Source: RNAcentral
CUCGACGGUCUAUAAGAUUCCCCUCGAUGCGUUGACGAACCCUAGCUCUCCUUUUCCCCCUCCCCUGUGCCGCUUUCGUCCCCGCAACCCUUGGCCGAACCUACAUCGCCAUGGCCUCUGACAUCCACUCGCCCACCGAGCUCCCCGCGCCCAGCCACCUCGUCCGCGAGCUUCGCCGACGUCCACUCCUUUGACUACGUCCACCAGUUGGAGCCGGGAGCCCCUGGAUCGCAGGGAUCGACGCCGUCUUCAACCUCCAGCCACCGCGACGCCAUCGACGAAUUCGUCGCCGUCGCUCCACCCCCGGCCUUCUCGAGCUCACCUAUGACAUUGCGGUGAGGUCCUCACUCGAUUCCCGCUCUUCCCUGCUCGAUCCAUGCCUAUAGCCGUCGUUCCCCACAGAACUCCGGCCGCCGUUAGUCCUCGUCGCCUCUUGCUCCGGCCACCUCCAUUGUUGCGCUACUGCUGCUACUGUCGCGCACGCUCGUUCGCUGCUGCAGCAUGCGCUCCCGCACGCGCCCACCCGUGGCCUCGCCUCCGCCUACCGCCGCUCACCCGCUGCCGUGCCUCUGCCUCGCCUGGCCGCGUCGACCGUGGCCGCCAUUGCCGUCCAUGUGCGCGACAGCGCGCCUGGUGCUGCUCACCGCCCGCGACGCGCGCGCUUUCCCUGGCCGCGCCCCAGCACCACCGCGCGUGCUCGCCGCCGUGCCCGCUAACCCCCGCGCGCUGCUGUUGCUGCUACUACGAUGAGUUUGCUGCUGCGCUGCUAAUAGCUGUCGAUGUUCAGCUACUCUGCUUGCCACUGUUGCUCGCUUAUACUACUGCUGCUCAAGCUGCCGCCGCCGCCUUCUACUAACUGAUGUUGCUCACUUGCUGCUAUUGCCUUCUGCUGCUACCGCUCCUGGCCAUGGCCGCCAAGGCCCUUGUACAUCUGUACAGGCCGUGUGUGAGGCCGGCUUAGGCCAUUGCCGCUGGGGCUAGCCCCGUUUAGACUAGAUAAUUAUUAGUGGUUAGAUUAGUCCAUGUAUAGAUGACAUGUGAGACCUUGCCAAUUUAAUCCCUGUUAAACUGGCAGUGUAUGACAUAUGGGUCCCGGUGGUCCCUUUGACCAGUCAACGGGUCCAUGUUGACUGCUGACUGUGCAGUCAACUGGACCCCGUUUGUCAGCCCCUCUGUACCCUAUCCUGGGUACACUUUUGGGUGCACAUAUAAUUUAACUGUUUAACAAUUUGGAAUUAAUAAUAUUCCUAAAAAUCCAGAAAAUAAUUAAAACUCUAAAAUUAAUAUAAAAUAAUCCGUAACUCGGAUGAAAAUACUUUGUACAUGAAAGUUGCUCAGAACGACGAGACGAAUCCGAAUACGCAGCCCGUUCGUCCGCCACACAUCCCUAGCAUAGCAAACAGCAACUUUCCCCCUCCGGUUCAUCUGUCCGAAAACGCGAAACAUCGGGGAUACUUUCCCGGAUGUUUUCCUCCUUCGUCGGUAUCACCUCCUACCGCGUUAGGGCACACCUAGCACCGCUCAUUGUCAUGUCAGGCAUCGGCAUGCAUAUGUUUGCAUUAUAUUUAUUUUUUCUUCCCCCUCUUCUCUCGUUAGACACCGAGACCGACG